AUUGAACGCUGGCGGCAUGCUUUACACAUGCAAGUCGAACGGCAGCGCGGGCUUCGGCCUGGCGGCGAGUGGCGAACGGGUGAGUAAUACAUCGGAACGUGCCCAGUAGUGGGGGAUAGCUCGGCGAAAGCCGGAUUAAUACCGCAUACGACCUGAGGGUGAAAGCGGGGGAUCUACGGACCUCGCGCUAUUGGAGCGGCCGAUGGCAGAUUAGCUAGUUGGUGGGGUAAAGGCCUACCAAGGCGACGAUCUGUAGCUGGUCUGAGAGGACGACCAGCCACACUGGGACUGAGACACGGCCCAGACUCCUACGGGAGGCAGCAGUGGGGAAUUUUGGACAAUGGGCGAAAGCCUGAUCCAGCAAUGCCGCGUGUGUGAUGAAGGCCUUCGGGUUGUAAAGCACUUUUGGCGGGAACGAAAAGGACUGUGCCAAUACCACGGUUCGAUGACGGUACCCGCAGAAUAAGCACCGGCUAACUACGUG
RNAcentral lists this ribosomal RNA (484 nucleotides) under uncultured bacterium. RNAcentral describes it as "partial 16S ribosomal RNA". It matches the Rfam family "Bacterial small subunit ribosomal RNA", at positions 29 to 507 of the family's 1533-position model. The record is from RNAcentral.